Molecule: ribosomal RNA, 2926 nt
Filed under: Escherichia coli M8
Lineage: Bacteria; Pseudomonadati; Pseudomonadota; Gammaproteobacteria; Enterobacterales; Enterobacteriaceae
Description: bacterial LSU rRNA
Rfam family: Bacterial large subunit ribosomal RNA
Source: RNAcentral
GGGUUGUGAGGUUAAGCGACUAAGCGUACACGGUGGAUGCCCUGGCAGUCAGAGGCGAUGAAGGACGUGCUAAUCUGCGAUAAGCGUCGGUAAGGUGAUAUGAACCGUUAUAACCGGCGAUUUCCGAAUGGGGAAACCCAGUGUGAUUCGUCACACUAUCAUUAACUGAAUCCAUAGGUUAAUGAGGCGAACCGGGGGAACUGAAACAUCUAAGUACCCCGAGGAAAAGAAAUCAACCGAGAUUCCCCCAGUAGCGGCGAGCGAACGGGGAGCAGCCCAGAGCCUGAAUCAGUGUGUGUGUUAGUGGAAGCGUCUGGAAAGGCGCGCGAUACAGGGUGACAGCCCCGUACACAAAAAUACACAUACUGUGAGCUCGAUGAGUAGGGCGGGACACGUGGUAUCCUGUCUGAAUAUGGGGGGACCAUCCUCCAAGGCUAAAUACUCCUGACUGACCGAUAGUGAACCAGUACCGUGAGGGAAAGGCGAAAAGAACCCCGGCGAGGGGAGUGAAAAAGAACCUGAAACCGUGUACGUACAAGCAGUGGGAGCACAGAGCAAUCUGUGUGACUGCGUACCUUUUGUAUAAUGGGUCAGCGACUUAUAUUCUGUAGCAAGGUUAACCGAAUAGGGGAGCCGAAGGGAAACCGAGUCUUAACUGGGCGUUAAGUUGCAGGGUAUAGACCCGAAACCCGGUGAUCUAGCCAUGGGCAGGUUGAAGGUUGGGUAACACUAACUGGAGGACCGAACCGACUAAUGUUGAAAAAUUAGCGGAUGACUUGUGGCUGGGGGUGAAAGGCCAAUCAAACCGGGAGAUAGCUGGUUCUCCCCGAAAGCUAUUUAGGUAGCGCCUCGUGAAUUCAUCUCCGGGGGUAGAGCACUGUUUCGGCAAGGGGGUCAUCCCGACUUACCAACCCGAUGCAAACUGCGAAUACCGGAGAAUGUUAUCACGGGAGACACACGGCGGGUGCUAACGUCCGUCGUGAAGAGGGAAACAACCCAGACCGCCAGCUAAGGUCCCAAAGUCAUGGUUAAGUGGGAAACGAUGUGGGAAGGCCCAGACAGCCAGGAUGUUGGCUUAGAAGCAGCCAUCAUUUAAAGAAAGCGUAAUAGCUCACUGGUCGAGUCGGCCUGCGCGGAAGAUGUAACGGGGCUAAACCAUGCACCGAAGCUGCGGCAGCGACACUAUGUGUUGUUGGGUAGGGGAGCGUUCUGUAAGCCUGUGAAGGUGUACUGUGAGGUAUGCUGGAGGUAUCAGAAGUGCGAAUGCUGACAUAAGUAACGAUAAAGCGGGUGAAAAGCCCGCUCGCCGGAAGACCAAGGGUUCCUGUCCAACGUUAAUCGGGGCAGGGUGAGUCGACCCCUAAGGCGAGGCCGAAAGGCGUAGUCGAUGGGAAACAGGUUAAUAUUCCUGUACUUGGUGUUACUGCGAAGGGGGGACGGAGAAGGCUAUGUUGGCCGGGCGACGGUUGUCCCGGUUUAAGCGUGUAGGCUGGUUUUCCAGGCAAAUCCGGAAAAUCAAGGCUGAGGCGUGAUGACGAGGCACUACGGUGCUGAAGCAACAAAUGCCCUGCUUCCAGGAAAAGCCUCUAAGCAUCAGGUAACAUCAAAUCGUACCCCAAACCGACACAGGUGGUCAGGUAGAGAAUACCAAGGCGCUUGAGAGAACUCGGGUGAAGGAACUAGGCAAAAUGGUGCCGUAACUUCGGGAGAAGGCACGCUGAUAUGUAGGUGAAGUCCCUCGCGGAUGGAGCUGAAAUCAGUCGAAGAUACCAGCUGGCUGCAACUGUUUAUUAAAAACACAGCACUGUGCAAACACGAAAGUGGACGUAUACGGUGUGACGCCUGCCCGGUGCCGGAAGGUUAAUUGAUGGGGUCAGCGCAAGCGAAGCUCUUGAUCGAAGCCCCGGUAAACGGCGGCCGUAACUAUAACGGUCCUAAGGUAGCGAAAUUCCUUGUCGGGUAAGUUCCGACCUGCACGAAUGGCGUAAUGAUGGCCAGGCUGUCUCCACCCGAGACUCAGUGAAAUUGAACUCGCUGUGAAGAUGCAGUGUACCCGCGGCAAGACGGAAAGACCCCGUGAACCUUUACUAUAGCUUGACACUGAACAUUGAGCCUUGAUGUGUAGGAUAGGUGGGAGGCUUGGAAGUGUGGACGCCAGUCUGCAUGGAGCCGACCUUGAAAUACCACCCUUUAAUGUUUGAUGUUCUAACGUUGACCCGUAAUCCGGGUUGCGGACAGUGUCUGGUGGGUAGUUUGACUGGGGCGGUCUCCUCCUAAAGAGUAACGGAGGAGCACGAAGGUUGGCUAAUCCUGGUCGGACAUCAGGAGGUUAGUGCAAUGGCAUAAGCCAGCUUGACUGCGAGCGUGACGGUGCGAGCAGGUGCGAAAGCAGGUCAUAGUGAUCCGGUGGUUCUGAAUGGAAGGGCCAUCGCUCAACGGAUAAAAGGUACUCCGGGGAUAACAGGCUGAUACCGCCCAAGAGUUCAUAUCGACGGCGGUGUUUGGCACCUCGAUGUCGGCUCAUCACAUCCUGGGGCUGAAGUAGGUCCCAAGGGUAUGGCUGUUCGCCAUUUAAAGUGGUACGCGAGCUGGGUUUAGAACGUCGUGAGACAGUUCGGUCCCUAUCUGCCGUGGGCGCUGGAGAACUGAGGGGGGCUGCUCCUAGUACGAGAGGACCGGAGUGGACGCAUCACUGGUGUUCGGGUUGUCAUGCCAAUGGCACUGCCCGGUAGCUAAAUGCGGAAGAGAUAAGUGCUGAAAGCAUCUAAGCACGAAACUUGCCCCGAGAUGAGUUCUCCCUGACUCCUUGAGAGUCCUGAAGGAACGUUGAAGACGACGACGUUGAUAGGCCGGGUGUGUAAGCGCAGCGAUGCGUUGAGCUAACCGGUACUAAUGAACCGUGAGGCUUAACCUUACAACGCCGAAG